AACAAGGAAAUAUGAUGUUUCAUGUCGGAUUCUGUUCCGGUCUUAGUCCAGUUGGUCCACUCAACCGCUUCUUCAUAUCAAAGCGUCACCGUCUUCAUCUCUGCAGUUCACACUGGCCACCAGUGGGUGAUGCCGCACAGUCUUGCUGCUCCACUUGUGGGCGUCCUGUAGUCCUGGCUCUAGGAAGUACAAGCAUGCCCCGAAGCCCGCCAGCACCAGAACCGACACCAGCAGAUAGAGCGGCACGAACCAGUCCAAGAACAGCCACGACAUUGCUGCUGCCGCUGAUGGAGAGGAGAGACAGAGGGAAACAGCGGUGGGCAGGACCUUCCACUACGCAGACAGGCCGUCAGGCAUCAAAUCUCAAGAACUCCUCAGGGGGUACCAGGAUGGACACCGUCGCAGUGGGCAUUGAGUCAGCCCCAUGAUUACACACCAGGGCCAAGGCCGUGAUGUCCUUGAUGCGGCGCCAUUUGGGGUUGGCCGAGCAGAGUUUGCCGGUCCAAACUUUUCUGAAAGCUUGCCGGAUUUGACCAGAAUGUCACGUAACAUGAUGAAAAAGCUGUCAGAGAAAAUAACCUUCUUGGAGGUGGAAGCUGUCUAACUACAGCGAUAUUGCUUCGGAACCCCAGGUGAACAACAACAAUGCAUUCUCAUGU
Molecule: long non-coding RNA, 659 nt
Organism: Synchiropus splendidus (mandarinfish)
Lineage: Eukaryota; Metazoa; Chordata; Actinopteri; Syngnathiformes; Callionymidae
Exons: 3
Source: RefSeq, a predicted model, not a curated record